CUGCUCGCUUCAGCAGCACAUAUACUAAAAUUGGAACAAUACAGAGAAGAUCAGCACAGCCCCUGUGCAAGGACGUCACGCGAAUUCGUGACGCGUUCCGUAUUUUU
Molecule: small nuclear RNA, 107 nt
Organism: Artibeus jamaicensis (Jamaican fruit-eating bat)
Lineage: Eukaryota; Metazoa; Chordata; Mammalia; Chiroptera; Phyllostomidae
Source: RefSeq, a predicted model, not a curated record